UACGUAGGGUGCGAGCGUUGUCCGGAAUUAUUGGGCGUAAAGAGCUCGUAGGCGGUCUGUCGCGUCGGUCGUGAAAACCUGCAGCUUAACUGUGGGCGAGCGGUCGAUACGGGCAUGACUGGAGUUCGGCAGGGGAGACUGGAAUUCCUGGUGUAGCGGUGAAAUGCGCAGAUAUCAGGAGGAACACCGGUGGCGAAGGCGGGUCUCUGGGCCGAUACUGACGCUGAGGAGCGAAAGCGUGGGGAGCGAACAGG
RNAcentral lists this ribosomal RNA (254 nucleotides) under uncultured bacterium. Its description in RNAcentral is "partial 16S ribosomal RNA". It matches the Rfam family "Bacterial small subunit ribosomal RNA", at positions 524 to 776 of the family's 1533-position model. The record is from RNAcentral.